UACGAGGGGUGCAAGCGUUGCUCGGAUUUAUUGGGCGUAAAGGGUAGGUAGGUGGUCUCAUUUGUCUGGGGUGAAAGCCUUGAGCUUAACUCAAGAAGUGCCCCGGAAACGGUGAGACUAGAGUCUUGGAGAGGGUCGUGGAAUUCCCGGUGUAGCGGUGAAAUGCGUAGAGAUCGGGAGGAACACCAGAGGCGAAGGCGGCGACCUGGACAAGUACUGACACUCAACUACGAAAGCGUGGGGAGCAAACAGG
This 253-nucleotide ribosomal RNA is filed under the name uncultured bacterium. RNAcentral describes it as "partial 16S ribosomal RNA". It matches the Rfam family "Bacterial small subunit ribosomal RNA", at positions 524 to 776 of the family's 1533-position model. The record is from RNAcentral.